This 529-nucleotide ribosomal RNA is filed under the name uncultured Actinomycetes bacterium. RNAcentral describes it as "bacterial SSU rRNA". It matches the Rfam family "Bacterial small subunit ribosomal RNA", at positions 355 to 896 of the family's 1533-position model. The record is from RNAcentral. Lineage: Bacteria; Bacillati; Actinomycetota; Actinomycetes.
UGGGGAAUAUUGCACAAUGGGCGCAACUGAUGCAGCAACGCCGCGUGGGGGAUGACGGCCUUCGGGUUGUAAACCUCUUUUAGCAGGGAAGAAGCGAAAGUGACGGUACCUGCAGAAAAAGCGCCGGCUAACUACGUGCCAGCAGCCGCGGUAAUACGUAGGGCGCAAGCGUUGUCCGGAAUUAUUGGGCGUAAAGAGCUCGUAGGCGGUUGGUCGCGUCUGCUGUGAAAUCCCGAGGCUCAACCUCGGGCCUGCAGUGGGUACGGGCCAACUAGAGUGCGGUAGGGGAGAUCGGAAUUCCUGGUGUAGCGGUGGAAUGCGCAGAUAUCAGGAGGAACACCAAUGGCGAAGGCAGAUCUCUGGGCCGUAACUGACGCUGAGGAGCGAAAGGGUGGGGAGCGAACAGGAUUAGAUACCCUGGUAGUCCACGCCGUAAACGGUGGGAACUAGUUGUAGGGGCCAUUCCACGGCUUCUGUGACGAAGCUAACGCAUUAAGUUCCCCGCCUGGGGAGUACGGUCGCAAGACUA